RNAcentral lists this non-coding RNA (36 nucleotides) under unclassified sequences. Its description in RNAcentral is "DUF805b RNA". It matches the Rfam family "DUF805b RNA". From Rfam's summary of the family: Bacteroidetes, Chlorobi (1 example), Proteobacteria. The record is from RNAcentral.
AACGGACAAGCCGAAAACCGUUUCAAAGAGUAGGCA